AUAAUAAGGUCGAUAAAAUGACUAAGUGUUUGAGUUAAUGAUUCCGGUCCGGCUGAAUCAUUAACUCAAAGACUAAGUCAUUUUAUCGACCUUGUUAU
RNAcentral lists this small RNA (98 nucleotides) under Mytilus galloprovincialis (Mediterranean mussel). Lineage: Eukaryota; Metazoa; Mollusca; Bivalvia; Mytilida; Mytilidae. The record is from RNAcentral.